Molecule: long non-coding RNA, 325 nt
Filed under: Elaeis guineensis (African oil palm)
Lineage: Eukaryota; Viridiplantae; Streptophyta; Magnoliopsida; Arecales; Arecaceae
Description: long non-coding RNA (EGUI_LNC044500)
Source: RNAcentral
UCAGAUCAAAAAUUUUAUAUAAAUAGAUUUAAUUAGAUUUAAUAUUUUAUAAAAAAUAUCAAUCAUAUCUCAUAUAAUCAUUUCUAAAAAAUUUUAUUAUGCAUGCAUAUAUUUUAGGCUUGCUCUAAUACCAACUGAAGGGAAAGAAACUAUUUCUCCUCUGAUUGCCCAGGUUGCAUUUAAAAAAUUUUUUAUUUAUCUACAUGAUUAAAGAUCAAAUCCUUACCUAAUUAGUAGUAAAACUAAAGAUUAAAUCUUAAUUUAUCUAGAUUAAAACUUCAAAGAGGUCUAGAUAUGUAGACUCUCUACUUCGCAUGCACACCAG